AGUGAACGCUGGCGGUAGGCCUAACACAUGCAAGUCGAACGGCAGCACAGUAAGAGCUUGCUCUUACGGGUGGCGAGUAGCGGACGGGUGAGGAAUACAUCGGAAUCUACUUUUUCGUGGGGGAUAACGUAGGGAAACUUACGCUAAUACCGCAAACGACCUACGGGUGAAAGCAGGGGAUCUUCGGACCUUGCGCGAUUGAAUGAGCCGAUGUCGGAUUAGCUAGUUGGCGGGGUAAAGGCCCACCAAGGCGACGAUCCGUAGCUGGUCUGAGAGGAUGAUCAGCCACACUGGAACUGAGACACGGUCCAGACUCCUACGGGAGGCAGCAGUGGGGAAUAUUGGACAAUGGGCGCAAGCCUGAUCCAGCCAUACCGCGUGGGUGAAGAAGGCCUUCGGGUUGUAAAGCCCUUUUGUUGGGAAAGAAAAGCAGCAGGUUAAUACCCCGCUGUUCUGACGGUACCCAAAGAAUAAGCACCGGCUAACUUCGUG
RNAcentral lists this ribosomal RNA (492 nucleotides) under uncultured bacterium. Its description in RNAcentral is "partial 16S ribosomal RNA". It matches the Rfam family "Bacterial small subunit ribosomal RNA", at positions 29 to 507 of the family's 1533-position model. The record is from RNAcentral.